RNAcentral lists this transfer RNA (73 nucleotides) under Trichonephila inaurata madagascariensis. It matches the Rfam family "tRNA". From Rfam's summary of the family: Transfer RNA (tRNA) molecules are approximately 80 nucleotides in length. Their secondary structure includes four short double-helical elements and three loops (D, anti-codon, and T loops). Lineage: Eukaryota; Metazoa; Arthropoda; Arachnida; Araneae; Nephilidae. The record is from Rfam by way of RNAcentral.
AUCCCUGCAGCGCAAUGGACAACGCAUUGGACUUCUAAUCCAAAAGUCGUGGUUUCGAAUCCCACCUGGGAUG